GAUGAACGCUGGCGGCGUGCCUAAUACAUGCAAGUCGAACGGGAUAAGUAGCAAUACGUAUCUAGUGGCGAACGGGUGAGUAACGCGUUGGUGACCUGCCCCGAAGCGUGGGAUAACAGUUCGAAAGGAUUGCUAAUACCGCAUGUGGACACGAAGAUCAGAUGCUUUGUGUCUAAAGCAGUAAUGCGCUUUGGGAGGGACCUGCGUCCCAUCAGUUAGUUGGUAGGGUAAUGGCCUACCAAGACUUCGACGGGUAGGGGACCUGAGAGGGUGGUCCCCCA
Molecule: ribosomal RNA, 281 nt
Filed under: uncultured Chloroflexota bacterium
Lineage: Bacteria; Bacillati; Chloroflexota
Description: uncultured Chloroflexi bacterium partial 16S ribosomal RNA
Rfam family: Bacterial small subunit ribosomal RNA
Source: RNAcentral